GGACUACUGGGGUAUCUAAUCCUGUUUGCUCCCCACGCUUUCGCGCCUCAGCGUCAAUACCAGUCCAGUUGGCCGCCUUCGCCACCGGUGUUCUUCCCAAUCUCUACGAAUUUCACCUCUACACUGGGAAUUCCACCAACCUCUCCUGGAUUCAAGCGCACCAGUAUCAAGCGCAAUUCCCGGGUUGAGCCCAGGGCUUUCACGCCUGACUUAGUGCACCGCCUACGCGCCCUUUACGCCCAGUAAUUCCGAACAACGCUUGCCCCCUUCGUAUUACCGCGGCUGCUGGCAC
This 292-nucleotide ribosomal RNA is filed under the name uncultured bacterium. RNAcentral describes it as "partial 16S ribosomal RNA". The record is from RNAcentral.